UUGCGUCUCAUUUAGCUGGGUUGGAUCAUUCUGCUAAAGGGGUGUAAGCCGUACAAGCUCGAACUCGUUUUUUGUGUCAUGCUGGCGUCCUGGCCUUGAUGCUCCUACGUGGGAUGGCGUUGGCGAGCACGCAUUUAGCGCUUCAAGUUCUUGUUGAUGUGAGACACUAUGUGCGAGGUCGACUCCUGUGUCGCAUUUGUGUGCCUACAGGAUGCAGGUUUUCAUGCAGCGGUCAAAGAAGGACGCUGACGAGGCUAAGCUACUACCACCGACCCGGAAAAGAGCGCCUCUUUUCCUACACGGUCGGCGACGUUAUUGACAGGACAGCGGAAGCACGGGGUGAAAAUCUCGCCGUUGUUUCCUGCCACCAGUCCAUCAGGAAGACGUACGCGGAGUAUAAGAAGGACAUCGACCACUUUGCAGCCGCCCUGAUGUCAUUGAAGUUGGGCAUUGGCUCCAGAAUAGCAAUUAUUGCACCCAACAUGUACGAAUGGGCUGUCGUGUUGUUCGCAGCUGCCAAGGCAGGUUUAGUAUUGGUCAACGUGAACACGACCUACGAAAUUCACGAACUGGAACACUGCCUGAAUCACACGGACUGCAAAGCCGUGAUACUGUCGGAGCAGUUUUCGAAACAGGACUACUACAAGAUGCUCGUUAAAUUGGCGCCGGAGUUAGCAUCGAGCUCUUUUGACAAUAUCAAGAGUGCAAGGCUACCCAGCCUGAAGCACGUCAUAUUCAUCGGAGAAACAGCCAAACCGGGCACGAUUAGGUUCGCCGAUCUGAUGGAGUCUGUUACGAGCGAACACCUACGUGCCCUGCGCUGUACUGCCUCCAAGUUGCAGAUGGACGACGCUGUCAACCUGCAGUUCACAUCAGGAACAACAGGAAAGCCCAAGGCGGCACAGCUGUCCCACUUCAACAUAGUAAACAACGCCUAUCUUGUAGGCCGGAGGCUCAACCUACACAAGCAGGGGGAGGUGAUUUGUCUGAACGUUCCAUUGGUUCACUGCUUUGGUUGCGUCGCUGGCAUAAUGUCGGCGGCCAUUUUCGGGUCCACGGCGGUAAUGCCGGCUCCGAGCUUCAGCGCAGCUGCUGCAUUGGAGAGCAUUACAGCAGAAGAGUGCACUUUCAUCUACGGCACACCAACCAUGUACAUUGACAUGCUGCAGCAUGUGGGACACGGUUGUUACGACGUUUCAUCCGUUCGAACAGCGGUCGUGUCUGGUGCACCUUGCCCGAACCACUUGACAAAAGGCAUCACGGAAAAGCUGAACGCAAAACGCAUCCAUGUUUUGUAUGGCACAACGGAAACGAGUCCAAUAGUUACAGCGAAUGACCCGAACGAACCUGUGGAUCAGUGGAUAACUUCGGUGGGAAGGCCCUUGGACCACGUUGAGGUAAAGAUUGUGGACGAUAAAAACAGGAUUGUUCCCGCCUCUCAGAGGGGCGAGCUGUGUGUCCGAGGCUACGCGGUUUUCAAGGGCUACUUCAAGGAAGACAAGAAGACAAAGGAAGCCAUACGCAAUGGCUGGUACCACACUGGGUGGUUGGUGUCCCGGGCGAAGAACAAAAGGAGGAAGUAUGUGCGUGGAUUAAGCUGAAGCCGGGAUUUAGCCUCAGCCAGGAGGACAUAAAACUUUUUUGCAAAAGAACGCUGAGCCACUACAAGAUUCCAAGAUAUGUACUGUUUGUGAGCGAAUUUCCCAAGACAGUAUCCGGAAAGGUCCAGAAACACAUCAUGAGGGAAGAGAGUCGCAAGAUACUACACUUAUGAGUUUUCUCCAACGUUCUUUGUACGUUAAUAAAGUGUCAAAUAUU
RNAcentral lists this unclassified non-coding RNA (1818 nucleotides) under Dermacentor andersoni. RNAcentral describes it as "putative acyl-CoA synthetase YngI". Lineage: Eukaryota; Metazoa; Arthropoda; Arachnida; Ixodida; Ixodidae. The record is from RNAcentral.